UGGUGGUCUUUGGCCAUCCGAGUUGUAAUUUAGAGAAGCGUCUUCCGCGCUGGACCGUGCACAAGUCUCCUGGAAUGGAGCGUCAUAGAGGGUGAGAAUCCCGUCUUUGGCACGGACAUGCCAGUGCUUUUGUGAUGCGCUCUCGAAGAGUCGAGUUGUUUGGGAAUGCAGCUCAAAAUGGGUGGUGAACUCCAUCUAAAGCUAAAUAUUGGCGAGAGACCGAUAGCGAACAAGUACCGUGAGGGAAAGAUGAAAAGCACUUUGGAAAGAGAGUGAAACAGUACGUGAAAUUGUUGAAAGGGAAACGCUUGAAGUCAGUCGCGUCGACCGAGACUCAGCCUCGCCUUGGCUUGGUGUACUUCUCGGCCGACGGGUCAGCAUCAAUUUUGCCUCUUGGAUAAUGGCGAGGGAAAUGUGACACCUUUACGGUGUGUUAUAGUCUCUCGUCGCAUGCAAGGGUUGGGAUUGAGGAACUCAGCACGCGCCUUCGGGUGUCGGGGUUUUGCCCACGAUACGUGCUUAGGAUGUUGGCGUAAUGGCUUUAAACGACCCGUCUUGAAACACGGACCAAGGAGUCUAACAUGCCUGCGAGUGUUCGGGUGGAAAACCCGUGCGCGCAAUGAAAGUGAAAGUUGGGACCUCCGUCGUGGAGGGCACCGACGCCCGGACCAGACCUUCUGUGACGGCUCUGCGGUAAAGCAUGUAUGUUAGGACCCGAAAGAUGGUGAACUAUGCCUGAAUAGGGUGAAGCCAGAGGAAACUCUGGUGGAGGCUCGUAGCGAUUCUGACGUGCAAAUCGAUCGUCAAAUUUGGGUAUAGGGGCGAAAGACUAAUCGAACCAUCUA
Molecule: ribosomal RNA, 845 nt
Rfam family: Eukaryotic large subunit ribosomal RNA